UUCAUGAUGGAGUGUGUGUUGGUGUGUCUGAUCUUCGUCUCACUCAGCGGUUUUUGGGGGCAGUACCCUGCCGCCGCCCUGCCGGCCUCUACUGUCCAGGUGAGAGUGGGGGAGAACGCCACCCUGCACUGCCCCCUGCUGGACAACUCUACCUCCACCGCUCCCACCCUGAACGCCUCCUCCACUCUCAGUUGGUACAGGAAGGUGGCAGGACAGAGUCCUGAGCUGCUCCUCACCGUCAGAUCUACAGACCCCUCCAGUGUGACGUAUGGCUCCAGUGUCGGUCCUGGUAAAGCUUUGGCUGGAGCCAACGGCUCUCUGCUGCUGCACAACUCCCAGCACAGCGACACGGCAGUUUAUUACUGUGGGAUCAGUUGGGGAGACCAGCAUAAGAAACCGGUGCCACAGCAAGUCACAGAGAAAUGAUGUGAAUGCUGACAAGGUUUCUGUUGGACUUCACUUCAGUUUGAGUUAUAGCUAGUCUCUGCUUUCUGUUUUUGCUCAUGUUUGUCACCUAAGCUGCGUCCACGUCCCAUCUGAGGUUUCCCAGACCUAGUGUGUCCACAGCAGUGUGAACAGACCAGACCAGAUGUCCUCAGACCAGAUCUGGGCCACCUGUGUAUGUGCACCUUAGCCCGAUUCCUCUCUGACCUCUGACUGUGCGAGCACCGUCAGAACAACAGAAUGACCUGGUUGUUAUUCUUGUGCACACGUGGCUCACAUUUCAGUUACACCUGUGCAUGUGGCAGUUUGAAGCUCAGAGGUGUUCACACCGGAGCCGGGUACGCGUCACUGACACA
This is a non-coding RNA of Monopterus albus (swamp eel), 800 nucleotides long. Lineage: Eukaryota; Metazoa; Chordata; Actinopteri; Synbranchiformes; Synbranchidae. The record is from the annotation of a RefSeq genome assembly.